CCUACGGGGGGCAGCAGUGGGGAAUAUUGCGCAAUGGGCGAAAGCCUGACGCAGCGACGCCGCGUGAGGGAUGAAGGUCUUCGGAUCGUAAACCUCUGUCAGCAGGGAAGAACGGUCACUGUGCUAAUCAGCAGUGAAUUGACGGUACCUGCAAAGGAAGCACCGGCUAACUCCGUGCCAGCAGCCGCGGUAAUACGGAGGGUGCGAGCGUUAAUCGGAAUUACUGGGCGUAAAGCGCUCGUAGGCGGUAUGUCAAGUCAAGGGUGAAAUCCCCGCGCUCAACGUGGGAACUGCCGUUGAAACUGGCAAACUGGAGUGUGUGAGAGGAGAGUGGAAUUCCAGGUGUAGGAGUGAAAUCCGUAGAUAUCUGGAGGAACAUCAGUGGCGAAGGCGACUAUCUGGAACAUAACUGACGCUGAGGAGCGAAAGCGUGGGUAGCAAACAGGAUUAGAUACCCUGGUAGUC
RNAcentral lists this ribosomal RNA (465 nucleotides) under uncultured bacterium. RNAcentral describes it as "partial 16S ribosomal RNA". It matches the Rfam family "Bacterial small subunit ribosomal RNA", at positions 338 to 795 of the family's 1533-position model. The record is from RNAcentral.